GAUGAACGCUGGCGGCGUGCCUAAUACAUGCAAGUCGAGCGAACAGACGAGGAGCUUGCUCCUUUGACGUUAGCGGCGGACGGGUGAGUAACACGUGGAUAACCUACCUAUAAGACUGGGAUAACUUCGGGAAACCGGAGCUAAUACCGGAUAACAUGUUGAACCGCAUGGUUCAACAGUGAAAGACGGUCUUGCUGUCACUUAUAGAUGGAUCCGCGCCGCAUUAGCUAGUUGGUAAGGUAACGGCUUACCAAGGCAACGAUGCGUAGCCGACCUGAGAGGGUGAUCGGCCACAAUGGAACUGAGACACGGUCCAGACUCCUACGGGAGGCAGCAGUAGGGAAUCUUCCGCAAUGGGCGAAAGCCUGACGGAGCAACGCCGCGUGAGUGAAGAAGGUCUUCGGAUCGUAAAACUCUGUUAUUAGGGAAGAACAAAUGUGUAAGUAACUAUGCACGUCUUGACGGUACCUAAUCAGAAAGCCACGGCUAACUACGUG
This 497-nucleotide ribosomal RNA is filed under the name uncultured bacterium. Its description in RNAcentral is "partial 16S ribosomal RNA". It matches the Rfam family "Bacterial small subunit ribosomal RNA", at positions 28 to 507 of the family's 1533-position model. The record is from RNAcentral.